CUUCUGUGACUCAGAUUGAUCUGGUCACUGGUCAGAGACACUUCGUUUUCAGAACACUCCCUGCUCUGCCUUUUUCCCCUCACUUCUCCUCCUCCUCCUGUCCCAGCUGAGCCAGUGACCCAGUGAGUGAGCCCUUCCUCCUCAGGCAGAGGAGAGCCGCGUUCAUCAUCCUGAGGAGAGGCCUGCACUCAAGGGCUGGGAAGUACGUUUGUCCUUUCCUCAUUGGUUAUCUGUUCCCGUGUGUGUGUGUGUGUGUGUGUGUGUGUGUGUGUGUGUGUGUGUGUGUGUGUGUGUGUUUGUGUAUAUGUGAGUGUGGGUAUGUAUAUGUGUGCAUGUGCGUGCGUGCACAUGACUGUUUGUGAGUGUGCUAGUGUGUGUGUACAAGCCCAUCAGCAUUUUGUCACAUGUCUGAAUUUGUGUCCAGACUAACCCAUCAGAACCGGUUGGGAAGGACCCCAAGGACCAAGCGUCUGAUGGUCCCUCUCAAGGGACCACAGCAGGGGAGGGAGAAAGGGGGUUGUUUUGUUCCGUUUUAACCACCUUUUUGAACCAUUUUUCCAGGGCGAAGCCCUCCAAGAUAUUAUGUAUAAAUUGUGUCAUUAUGUAUAUGGGUAAAGGUGUACAAAUCUAUGUCCUCUUUGCAGCAGAUAUGAUUUUAUAUUUAUAGCGUGCGUUGACAAGUGAAAGCAAGCUAGGCCUUUAGCACAGGUGGCUUAAGGGAGGGGUGGGGCCAGGUAGAGGUGGCUGGAGGGUGUGGCCAGCAGAUGGUCAUCAGUCAGUGUCUCCGCCUUCUUUCUCUUCCCUUACUCCCCACCCCUCCGCUGGCCUCUGAGGAAGAUCUGCUCUGUCAUCCGUUGCAGAGCUCCGCUUUCCUCACCCCUCUCCCCACCCCAGGAAGGACGAGUCAGAGGCCUCCCUCAGGUUUUGUGGCCCCAGCCUUGAUCUUCUCAAUGUAAGUCAGCACUGUGACAGAGCUGGCUGACAAGUCGGUGCCAAGAGAAGGGGUCCCUGUAUGUCCCCAAGGCCGGGAGCUCUUCCUGGAAAGUGGCAUUAAGUGUCCCCUACUACCACCAUCACACCCCGCAGCUCAGGAGAUGGAGGCCCCGGGCCAGAGUUUCCAUGUUUGGUGGUGGAGGAGGGGGAGGAUGGAAGCCAGGAGCCAUCGUCCCCUGGGGUGCCAGGCAGUGUUUCCAGGGUGACACCCCGAAGUUCACUUCCUGUGUCACUCCACCUCAGGCCACACCUCACCCCUGUGAGUUAGCUCCCUCAGCCAGGCUGUUUCUCAGGCGUUCUUCCCAUCCCCCACCUGCCCCCUGUGCCUCAGUAGCCUCCUCUUUCACAGGCGAGGACUCGAGACCCCCCCUCCAGCAGACUGAGUAAAGACAGACUUGUGUUCCCAAGUGGUGGUUUUAUUUUUUUAGUUUUAUGUUUGUAUGGGAAAUUGUGGAUAAAGUGAAUGGACUGUAAAUAAAUGGUGUUUCCUCCUCCAUCAUGAGCUUCUGUUUUGAGUUCAUGGAGCCUGCCGUG
RNAcentral lists this long non-coding RNA (1527 nucleotides) under Rattus norvegicus (Norway rat). RNAcentral describes it as "long non-coding RNA NONRATT017221". Lineage: Eukaryota; Metazoa; Chordata; Mammalia; Rodentia; Muridae. The record is from RNAcentral.